UACGGACUGUACAGCCCCAUACAGUGGGGAAAAAUAGAAGCUGUGUAACCCCAGAGACCAGGAGGUGGACUACAGAUAAAUCUGCAAAGAUAAGUAAAAGGAUGUGUUGAAGACAGCGGGAUAAAGAGAGAACUAGGGAGCGAGGCUGGAGUCAUCCUGAUAGAUACAGCAGCAAGAGUGAUUUAGGCUGCUGGGAAGGAUCCAAUGAGAAUUCAAGAGGCCACCGCUUCGGAAAUCCUGCUCUGAUCUUCCCACUCUCGGUUCUUUAAGAGUUACCUGCGUUGGGAACAUGUUCAUUAGGAUUAAUAGUAUUCCAUCAGUGCAUUUCACUAGGAUUUCCUUUGAACCCUCUCCCUUGCAGCAACCGAGGGAGGCGUAGUAAGGAACCCAACACAACCAAGCCCCCCAAUAACCACCGUGGUCACUUUAGGAUGACCAGAUCAUCCGCGAUUUGCAUUGGGGGCUGAAGACGCAGAGGAGGCCGGGUCGCCUGGCCCUUUCGGGGGCGCUGUGCCGGGAGACUUAGGCACGGGGCCAGGGAACUGGCGGGUGGAAGCGGCAGCGGCGGCGGCAGGAGCCCUCCCAGGUCCUGCUUCCUCGGCGAAGGCUGCUUCCCCGGGACUCCAGGCAAUUGACUUCCCUUCGAAACCUCAGCUCUAAACGCCUCGCUUUAGAAGCUAGAGCUUUGGAGGUUCUGACGACCGUCCCUGGGGGAGCAGGUGGCAGGCUGUGAGACUCCCGCGUCACCUCUUAUACCUAAACAAUUGCGUAGGGAGACGGUGCCAGAAAUGGCUUUGCUGCCGAAUGCAUUAUCUUGCCUUUUUCAUAGCCCGAUACAGCACAAACGAUCGCCUGAUCGAUCGGAAAUAGGAGGAAAAGGUAGAGUGGAAAUUGAUUUCUUGCAGAGACUGAGGCGCCGAAUGAUAGAGGGAAUAAACAUUUCCCCCGGAUAAAAAUGUUCUUGGAGAGUAGUAGCUUGUAAGGGUGAAUUUGAAGAAACGGGCUUUAAGCAGGCAACGUGAAGGCUUUAAGGUCCUAAAUUUCCUACGUUCACAAUCCAGACACAGAUAAAGAUGAUGCCUGCUUGCUUGCUAAAUGGGUAAAUAUCUCCCUUAUUUCUUACUCUCUUUCCUUUCUGAAAAUAAAAUAGUUUGGGGUCAUAGCCCCGUGUCUGUGCCCCCUUCACCAUGUUCUAAAAUAUAUAUAUUUUUUCAGUUUCAGAUAUGAGAACGUGUAUUUUUCACAUUUUUGGCCAGGAAAGUUAAAGUCAUAGAAACGUCUUACUAGUGUGUACACCCUCUGUCCAAUUCUUGCACCAGAAACAAAUUCAUGGCGACCGAAGUAGGUAUUUGCAUGUCGAGGUGAUACCUAUGAAUUCAUCAAGCCCUCUGGCUUCCGUGAGUCUGCAGCACCCCCAGGCUGCACACGCUCAUUCUGUGGAGAAUGGGUAGGUGUUGGAGUGGGAAGGAGCUAAAGGGCUCUUGAUUGUGCUGACAUCCUAUGUCACUAGGUGCGCAGAAUAACAAAGAUUGCAAAUUCUGUGAACUUGGUUUUUCAAGUGUAAGCUGACCGUUUUGGAUGUGAACAAUUAAAAGAGACUUCCUCUAAGAGAAACCAUUGCAAUUUUGAGUUAUAGAAUAUAUUUUACUAGUGAACUAUUCAUAUUCAUUUUUUUCCUCCGUUGUCAUUCUUUCCACUGUCAAUUCCUUAUCCCCAAAUUUUAAUGCUAAUUGUCAUAAAAUGUAUUCAGGAUGCCCUCAGCCUCAUCUGAAAUAUCUGAUCUUAAAAUUCCAUUGAUAAGAUGGUAAGAAUAGACUUUAUUUCAGAUAAUCAAUUUUCUAGAAAGCACCAAUAUAAAAUCCUAGAAGAGAGAUAGCCAAGUGGGAUAUUACAAUAGUAAGGCGCACCGUGCAGGUGUGCAAAUCUGUAGUCAUCAUUACUAUCAAACUUGGUAAGGGAAAAAAUUUCACUAAGGAUAUGUUUGUAUAACUUUUUUUUUCUUUCUCUCCUCAGGCUGUAUUCCAUUCCUAAUGAUGUCCUGGAACAGAAGGUUUUCUUAAGUCAUCUCAUUUUACCAAAAGGAUGAUUUCUGUGUGUGUCCAAGUGUUUUAGACAUAUGUUGCUGGGGGGAUCUGAGGUCCACACAAGGAGGAUGAAUAUCCUGAAUUACAUUCAUUACAAACACAAACAUAACAUUUGUGGCAGAAAGAGAGCAUACUUUUCAUAUAAAAAUUCCAAUAUGCUUCCUAAACCUACUUACCUAAUUUGUUAUUCAAGGAAAUAGAUUUAUUUGUUGAGGACCCAACUUAAAUUAGAAAAUGUAACAUUAGCAUUUUUAGCAUAUAUGUGAAAUAAAUGUGAGGUUGAUUUUAAAUAUUUGGAGAAAAACAGGACAGGAUAAAAAAUAUUAAUUUUGUGACCCAUUGUUCCUUAACCUUAAAAUAGUUUAUAGCACUUUAAUAAUGUAUUUUAACAUUAUAUUAAAUCAUAUGAUUAUAUUUGAUCAACCCCCAAAUAGAGCCAUAGGCUUUAUAUCUCCUAGCUGGUUUUUACUUUAAGUACAAUUCAGGUUUGAACUUAUUUUCAAACUUAUGUACUCAUAAGUUAUGCAUUUUAAUUUUAUGUUGAGCAUGUCUUUUCCUGGAUAAUCUCCAGGCACAUCUGCAGUUGGUAUUUUAGCAAGUUUUGUAUUACAGGUAAUGUUUUUGUCUGCUCUUCUGGCUCCAUCUUCUUUUGAAAUAUACAGGUACCACCUAAUGUAUUUCUUACCUAUUAAUCCACUAAAAUUUCCAAUCUAAAAGCAACAUCCAAGAUAUGUUGAAUUAGAGAAGUGAAUUAGUGAAGCAAGUUGCUUGUGAAGAUUAUUUUAACCUGAAAUCAAAUUUACAACAAAAAUGGGUUAUAAUAAGUACAUUCAAACUGUUCCUCAUAUACAAAAGUCAUACAUAACACGCAUUUAUGCAUAUAUAAUUGCCCUCAUUAGAAUAUUUACAUUUAUUCCUUUUAGUCUCUUUGUUAUGUGAUUAUUUUGGUUUUAGAGUUUUCUCUUUGAAAGUGUCUAAAACUUCUUAAAUACUUAAGUGUGCAAGCAUCUUCACGUCUCACUUCAUGAGAUUGUAACCAAGCAGGACCCUGCAAGGCCUUCUCAGAAUAGAUACACACCCAUGUCCUGCACCUGUGUUUUGUCUGUAGAAAAACUUUAGUCAAAGAAUAAAUUUAAUCAGAGAAGUCAGAAAAUGCAGAAAGAAAGGAAAACAGUCAAGCAAGAUAAAAUAAUAAUACUUUAGCCUUUAAACAAAUUCAAGGACUUUUAGUUCUUAAUCAAGGACUGUAGAUAAUAUUCUGAGCCAUGUCCUUUGAGCUGUUUUGCAGAUACUGAAACCCCCGCCAGUAGGAGAAGUUAACUGUCUGCUGCCCACAAGCACGGAGACCCCAGACUGGUUGGAACCAGAAGGGUGAUGAUGUUGACUCCUGAUGACCUCACCACCAACCAAUCAGAAGAAUGUCCACAAGCUGACCAUGCCCUGCUCCCUGAACACUAUAAGACUCCUCACUACCCUCUCCAGGGCGGGACACACAGUCUUGAGGGCAUUAGCCAAGGCAAGAAAGCUGUUUCUUUCUACUUCACCCAAAACUCUGUCUCAGAGAUUUAAUCCAGCACAGGCGUACAGAGGCCGAAUUUCAGCAACAAGAUCAAUAUGCUGCUAAAUAAACUGACCAACAUAUUCAAAUCUCAAAAAAGUGUGUUGGAACUUGUAGGGACAUUAAAGAUAGUUUAGUCUAACUCCUUCAUUAUGAUUGAGAGAUUGAGAACCAGAGAGAUUAAGUGAUUAGUGUAAUCAUACACUAACUAGUAACCCAAGGAACUUUAAAUGUAGCUUUCCUAGCUUCUUAGCUAGUAUUCAUUCUAAAUCAAUUAAAUUCUAUUACUACCUGCUAAAACAAGUAGUGCUUCUGAGAUUGGGCGAAGUAAUAAAUGAAGAAGAGAGAGAGCAGUGCAGAGAUAAAUAAAUUGCAGUCUUUUCUGAGUUUUUUUGUUGAUAACACUCUUCAUUGUAGAAAACUUUUCUUUCCCUGCUGUGUUUUAUCCUCCCCUCCUCCCUCCACCCCUGCCCUCAAUGAUUGGAGAACAUUUCAUUAUGUAAUUUUACUUCCUCAGGAAAGAUUCUCAGUGUUCUUUUUGUUUGUGCCUUGGCUUGUUCCCUAGGCUAUUUUCAACCACACAGUACAACCUUAAACUGUAGAUAAUUCCAACCACCUGAAGAUCAUACUCCAUCAUGUCACCUCUGUGUUCUACUUUUUAAAUUUCCUACCAAUAUAGGAAUAGGACUGUAUCAAGAGGAACCCCAUCAUCUCAAAAUAAGCUGCUUAACUAGACCCUGACUUACAUCAGAAAUGACAAACUCACACACAUACACACAAUAUGAAAUAAAUGCAGAGACUAAGACAGUGCAUUGUUAAGAAAACAUCAUGCAAAAAAAAUAAAAUCCAUGUUCCAUUAAAAAUGGGCUAUCCUUAUUAGGAGAAAAGCUGCAAGACUUUAGCCAUUUAGGGGGUGUUCAAUUUUCUGCAGUGGCUGAAGCCGUAUCAGUCUUCAUUCUUUCAUAUACAUCAAUAUUUGAGUAUUACAUUCAAGUCAUAAGUUUUAGAAAUAGCAAACCUAAAAGACAAACAUAAACACUAAAAUCUAUUGGGAGUUAUUAUUACUUCAGAAGGGGUAUCAUUCCAGGAUUAAACAAGACGAGAGUAGAAUCAGAUUUAAACAUUAGAAUGUGCUCUUUAAUAUAAAAUUAAAUUUUUACACUAAUCUAGAAUAUUCCAAAAGAUGAAACACAUGUGAAGAAGAAUUUAUAUUGGUUAUUUUAUGUUUCAAGUCUUGAAAAAAAUCCACACUAAUCAAAACCUACUUGUUGAUAAAUAAAAAUAUCUAAUUGUUAAAGGGAAAGAUAAGUAAGUUCAUAGAAUUCUUUUAAAAGCCUUCUAUGGACCUGUUUCUUUAAAUAAAUUAUCUCAAUAUCAAAUUGUGCAUUUUGUUAUGAACAUUUCAUAUAUGACGUAACAGUCUCAAAGAGCUUAAUUAAUUUGCCAAACCAAGUAGAAUCAGAAUUGGAAGUCGGGGGACACACAGUUUUGAGGGCAUUAGCCCACUGUGGCCCCCUUUGCCUGCCAAAGCAAUAAAGCUAUUAUUUUCUACUUCAAAAAAAAAAAAAGAA
Molecule: long non-coding RNA, 5213 nt
Organism: Orcinus orca (killer whale)
Lineage: Eukaryota; Metazoa; Chordata; Mammalia; Artiodactyla; Delphinidae
Exons: 3
Source: RefSeq, a predicted model, not a curated record